Molecule: ribosomal RNA, 252 nt
Filed under: uncultured bacterium
Lineage: Bacteria
Description: partial 16S ribosomal RNA
Rfam family: Bacterial small subunit ribosomal RNA
Source: RNAcentral
UACGGAGGAUGCGAGCGUUAUCCGGAUUUAUUGGGUUUAAAGGGUGCGUAGGCGGGCUUUUAAGUCAGCGGUAAAAUUGCGGGGCUCAACCUCGUCGAGCCGUUGAAACUGGGUGCCUUGAGUGGGCGAGAAGUACGCGGAAUGCGUGGUGUAGCGGUGAAAUGCAUAGAUAUCACGCAGAACUCCGAUUGCGAAGGCAGCGUACCGGCGCCCAACUGACGCUGAAGCACGAAGGCGUGGGUAUCGAACAGG